UACGGAGGAUCCGAGCGUUAUCCGGAUUUAUUGGGUUUAAAGGGUGCGCAGGCGGGAGAUUAAGUCGGCGGUGAAAUUUUGCAGCUCAACUGUAAAAGUGCCUUCGAAACUGGUUUCCUUGAGUGUAGAUGAAGUAGGCGGAAUUUGUGGUGUAGCGGUGAAAUGCAUAGAUAUCACUAGGAACUCCGAUUGCGCAGGCAGCUUACUGAACUACUACUGACGCUCAGGCACGAAGGCGUGGGGAUCAAACAGGAUUAGAUACCCGGGUAGU
RNAcentral lists this ribosomal RNA (271 nucleotides) under uncultured prokaryote. Its description in RNAcentral is "partial 16S ribosomal RNA". It matches the Rfam family "Bacterial small subunit ribosomal RNA", at positions 524 to 794 of the family's 1533-position model. The record is from RNAcentral.